This 1484-nucleotide long non-coding RNA is filed under the name Callithrix jacchus (white-tufted-ear marmoset). Its description in RNAcentral is "lncRNA (ENSCJAG00000076050.1)". Lineage: Eukaryota; Metazoa; Chordata; Mammalia; Primates; Cebidae. The record is from RNAcentral.
GUCAAGGUCACUGGGACUAUGGUGUUCAGAGAAGCACUAACCAGAGAGAUAUAUUUGAAACCGAACCCAGUUGGAAGUGUAGGAUUUGGAUAGGUAAAGAAGAGGAGAGAGGACAUGAGUAGUGGGAGGAAAGGCAUUAGAAAAGAAUGUGGAGGUGGAGGUGUGUUGACAUGCCAGUGAAGAUGCCACUGUGACUGGCAUGGAAGGUUUUUGUAGGGGAGUAGUGUGUGUCACUUAAGCCAAAAGGAAGACCUGGAGUUCAUAUGCUGAAUUUAAACCAUUAUUUUUGACUCUCUUAUUACAGUUUGGUGUUUAUCCCAUCACAGCUGCUUUUCUGUUAUUGUUCUAUUCAUUUUGACUUUAACUAGAAAUUAUAUGGGAUAAGGAGGUUUUAGGCAAUAAAUAGCUAAUAUUUUGGUGUAUUGAUUUUUUUUUUAAAAUGUACUGCAUUUUAUUACAUAGAAAUAUUCUUAGUAUAAUUACAUAUGUGUGUGUGUGUAUAUACACACACAAAUAUAUAUAUAUAUAUACACACACACACACACACACAUAUAUAUAUUUCUUUUUUUUAGACAGAGUCUCGCUCUUGUACCCCAGGCUGGAGUGCAAUGGCAUGAUCUUGGAUCACUGCAACCACCACUUCCAGGCUUCAAGCUAUUCUCCUGCCUCAGCCAGUGUAUUGAUUCUUGAAGCAGCCGUUUUAAGUUUGUGGACCAAUGGAGUUAGAAGAAAAGCAAGACCACAAAACAGAGAUGCCACUGGAACUGGAGAGUAUCCAGUGAAAAGGAGUGGAAAUAGGAGGUUGAAGCUUGGGAGCCUAGCCAAGUAGGUCCAUGAGAGUGGUAAGACUUCAGAAGCCUCUGACAAUUCUAAGACCUCUUUUGCUUAAAAGUAAAAACAAUGCCUGGACACAAAUGCUGUUUCAAUUUAAACAUGUGAAUGAGAGGCAUUGUGUCUGUAUCAUAUUAAUUUGGGAAGUGUGAUGUAAAGAAGAACUGAAAGAGUCCUAUUUUCUUAUGUCCCUGAGUUUCUUAAUCUAUUUUUAGCUUUUGUCCUUUCGGCUCAGCCAGGAGCUGCCCUGAGAUUCAGCCUAUGGAAAUGUGCUGGGCUCUGAACUGAGCUGUAAAGAAUGAAGGUGAAGCUUUGAGCUGCUAGAUUCAUGGCUGGGGUUUUUACACACACAUAAAAUAUGAAUCUCAGUUGUAUACAAAGCUGAACUCAUCGUGCCAAAAGGAUCCCAGUCAAGCAGGCCUGUAAAAUGAAAUCCUCUUGGACUAAUUUAAGGAGACCUGAGUGAUAUAAAUUGUGGCCUGCUCAAAUGCAGGAAAUAAAAAAAAAAAUUCCAAGUUGAAUACGAACUUCUCUCUUGGUGCCGUUGGCAGCCUUGGUGUGUGAGAAAUGGGAACAAAAAGGACUGAGAAGUUAGCUCCCGAUUCGUUUUCCUAAUAACUCAGCAGCUCCCUGUUUAUACUGGUCUUGUGGGC